AUAUCAGUCAUGCAUAGCAUAUCAAUAAGCGGAGGAAAAGAAACUAACAAGGAUUCCCCUAGUAACUGCGAGUGAAGCGGGAAGAGCUCAAAUUUGAAAUCUUAAAAGGUUUUCCUUUUACGAAUUGUAGUUUAAAGAAGUGUUUUCUGUUGAAAUUUUAGUAAAAGUUCUUUGGAAUAGGACAUCAUAGAGGGUGAGAAUCCCGUAUUUGACUAGAAUUUUUCAACUUUGUGAUACACUUUCAAAGAGUCGGAUUGUUUGGGAAUGCAGUCCAAAAUGGGUGGUAAAUUUCAUCUAAAGCUAAAUAUUGGCGAGAGACCGAUAGCGAACAAGUACCGUGAGGGAAAGAUGAAAAGAACUUUGAAAAGAGAGUUAAAUAGUACGUGAAAUUGUCAAAAGGGAAGCGUUUGGCACCAGUGUUGUUUUUCUAAAAAUCAAUUUAAAAUUUGCUUAUGCUAAGUUUUUUAGACUUAAUCGGUUAAUAAUUUAGUUUUUUGUAAUUUUUGAAUGCACUUUUUAGUUAACAAGUCAACAUCCAAUUUCUUUUAGUUGUAAAAGAAUAAGAGGAAGGUGGCUUGGGAUUUAGUUUCAAGUGUUUAUAGCCUUUUAUUUAUGCAAUAGGAGGGAUUGAGGUCUGCAGCAUAGAUCCUUCGGGGCUAGAUGCAUUUUCGCUAAGAGUCAGUAUUAUAUAAACAACUUGUUGAUUAUGUAGUAUGUUGAUUUUUACUCGGGAGUGUUAUUUUACCUACGCUUAGGAUGUUGAUCUACAGAGCGAGAGU
Molecule: ribosomal RNA, 779 nt
Filed under: uncultured Neocallimastigales
Lineage: Eukaryota; Fungi; Neocallimastigomycota; Neocallimastigomycetes; Neocallimastigales
Description: partial large subunit ribosomal RNA
Rfam family: Eukaryotic large subunit ribosomal RNA
Source: RNAcentral